This is a small nucleolar RNA of Cavia aperea (Brazilian guinea pig), 129 nucleotides long. Lineage: Eukaryota; Metazoa; Chordata; Mammalia; Rodentia; Caviidae. The record is from Ensembl.
UUGGUCCUGAAUCAAGGUCAGUAGCUUCCUGACGCUGUUGGUUUCUAGCAGGAACCUAAAGAGAUGUCUUUCUAUGGCCAUUUCAGAACUUGGGCAGUGAAAUAGUCAAUUCACUAGAACGAAACAGCU